Galendromus occidentalis (western predatory mite) is the source of this 589-nucleotide long non-coding RNA. RefSeq lists it as uncharacterized. NCBI's taxonomy places the organism in Eukaryota, Metazoa, Arthropoda, Arachnida, Mesostigmata, Phytoseiidae. The record is from RefSeq and is a predicted model, not a curated record. The transcript has 2 exons.
AGAUCGCCCGGACAGCCGAGCAAAGAGUGGAGUCGACUGAGUCUAGAAGUGUCCGGAAGGUUUGCCGCCAACCUAAAGGAGAAGACCCGUUGGAGUCGGAUGAACCCAAACAUGAAUCUUAUUUUUCUGCUGUUCGUUCUCGUGAUGACUCAUGCUUCGUGGGCUCGCUCUACAGCGACCCAGUCUCCGGCUAGCGAGUGCGACUGUCCGUAUGAGCUGCGAAGUGUGUGCUACAAAGGAAAAACCUACCUGAAUCCGUGUUCCGCUCACUGCGCGGGCGCACGGGAGGGGCAGUACACGUUCGGAAGGUGUUUGAUCACUGUGAAAUUCUGAUGACAGGAGUUAUCGAGCGUGAAAAAUUGCACUCGACGUACUUACUCGCGGCUGAGUCCUGGAGCCGGCUAUGCUGCUCCUCGAACCUGAGGAUAGUCGACUGACGGAGAUUUCCGCUUGGUCAUCAGCCGACUGGAUUGCACGAUCACUAUGUGAUGAAAUCAAGCUGCCGCAGCACAGGAUAUCUCCGAAUGAAAUCUUUUGUAUGGGCCUAUGAUCACCUCUCCAAUAAAUAUGCACAUCCUGAUCUGAAAGA